RNAcentral lists this non-coding RNA (29 nucleotides) under Homo sapiens (human). Lineage: Eukaryota; Metazoa; Chordata; Mammalia; Primates; Hominidae. The record is from RNAcentral.
UGCUCCGGUCAGCCCAGGACCCACCACAG